UACGUAGGGGGCAAGCGUUGUCCGGAAUCAUUGGGCGUAAAGAGCUCGUAGGCGGCUCGUCGCGUCAGCUGUGAAAACCCGCGGCUUAACCGUGGGCGUGCAGCUGAUACGGGCGGGCUAGAGUUCGGUAGGGGAGACUGGAAUUCCUGGUGUAGCGGUGAAAUGCGCAGAUAUCAGGGGGAACACCGGUGGCGAAGGCGGGUCUCUGGGCCGAUACUGACGCUGAGGAGCGAAAGCGUGGGGAGCGAACAGG
This 253-nucleotide ribosomal RNA is filed under the name uncultured bacterium. RNAcentral describes it as "partial 16S ribosomal RNA". It matches the Rfam family "Bacterial small subunit ribosomal RNA", at positions 524 to 776 of the family's 1533-position model. The record is from RNAcentral.